Molecule: ribosomal RNA, 489 nt
Filed under: uncultured Hymenobacter sp.
Lineage: Bacteria; Pseudomonadati; Bacteroidota; Cytophagia; Cytophagales; Hymenobacteraceae
Description: bacterial SSU rRNA
Rfam family: Bacterial small subunit ribosomal RNA
Source: RNAcentral
GAUAGUGGCGCACGGGUGCGUAACGCGUAACCAACCUACCCGAAUCUGGGGGAUAGCCCGCCGAAAGGCGGAUUAAUACCGCAUAAAACGGCAGACCGGCAUCGGUUCACCGUUAAAGAUUUAUUGGAUUCGGAUGGGGUUGCGUGCCAUUAGCUAGUUGGCGGGGUAACGGCCCACCAAGGCGACGAUGGCUAGGGGAGCUGAGAGGCUGGUCCCCCACACGGGCACUGAGAUACGGGCCCGACUCCUACGGGAGGCAGCAGUAGGGAAUAUUGGGCAAUGGUCGAGAGACUGACCCAGCCAUGCCGCGUGCAGGAUGAAGGCUUUCUGAGUCGUAAACUGCUUUUACCAGGGAAGAAAAAAGGGGAUGCGUCCUCUACUGACGGUACCCGGUGAAUAAGCACCGGCUAACUCCGUGCCAGCAGCCGCGGUAAUACGGAGGGUGCAAGCGUUGUCCGGAUUUAUUGGGUUUAAAGGGUGCGUAGGCGG